RNAcentral lists this long non-coding RNA (617 nucleotides) under Pavo cristatus (Indian peafowl). Its description in RNAcentral is "lncRNA (ENSPSTG00000015493.1)". Lineage: Eukaryota; Metazoa; Chordata; Aves; Galliformes; Phasianidae. The record is from RNAcentral.
AUGGAUGUGAAGACAAGAGUGAGUAUUUCUGUUAAAUGGCAGUUCCAUCUCUCACUGGAGAAUACAGUUUUCAGAGACUGUGCUAGCCCCAGCAGGCUCCUUGCUGGAGUGCAGUACCUUACUAGUCUCCAGCUUCCUAGCAUGAAGAAUCCCUGGGGAUGGGAGAUUGUGUGGAGAGAGGAAGGAAGGGCACUUCCUUUGGGUGGACAGAGAGAUUCAAGGUGAGAGAAGCUUCAGCUCAGUAUAACUGCCCACCUGCUUUAGCACAUGUUGAAUAGACAUCAAAGAAGACACAAGAGAGUUGAGGUCCAGUCAGCCUGCUGAACAGAGAGUUGCAGUGACGGCUGCCUCACAUUUGAGGCAUCCAGGCAGCCUGUGACUAAGGUUGGUGAGUCCCAUGGCUGAGAACUUUGCAUCUGGAGAUUGGUGCCUCUCUUCAACCUCCAGUUAUGUGUUGUCCAGGGGCUGCCCCUGCCUUAAGCUGUGAGAAGUGCUGUCUGAAUUACAAGAAUGACGUUCACUGAAAAGGAACUGGAGGAUGUUGAAACAGAGAGAGGUUUGUGGCAGGAGUCUGCAGUCCACUUUGCAGAAGUUUUACUAAGUGCUGAGACCACUCC